AACUAAGUUUGUUAUUGGUAUGAGCUUUUGUGUGCACGCACACUUCUUCAGAUAUGCACACUUUGUAUCUGAAGAAGUGUGCAUGCACACAAAAGCUCAUACCAAUAACAAACUUAGUUGG
Podarcis lilfordi (Lilford's wall lizard) is the source of this 121-nucleotide non-coding RNA. The record is from the annotation of a GenBank genome assembly. NCBI's taxonomy places the organism in Eukaryota, Metazoa, Chordata, Lepidosauria, Squamata, Lacertidae.